AUGAAUCAAGCCGGGAAGGCCCGCAUGCUCGCCAUCGAGCUCGUCGUCGCUAUGUACAUCAUCAUCGCCGCCGUCGAUUUCCGCCACUUCGACCGCCCCCGGACCCACCAACCACUGCGCUGUGACCGUUACCCCGAGACCACGGUUGAACCAGUGAUCGACUACUUCACCAUUGAAGAUCUGUAUCUGUAUGCCGAGCUUCCAGUUGAUGGAGCCCCUGAGACCGUUGCCCCCGCCGAUGACUACUACUACCCCGAGGGUGCCUACUACUAUGUGAUGGACACCGACGACCAGGAGUAG
Molecule: ribosomal RNA, 300 nt
Filed under: Triticum aestivum (bread wheat)
Lineage: Eukaryota; Viridiplantae; Streptophyta; Magnoliopsida; Poales; Poaceae
Description: partial small subunit ribosomal RNA
Source: RNAcentral